Molecule: long non-coding RNA, 250 nt
Filed under: Homo sapiens (human)
Lineage: Eukaryota; Metazoa; Chordata; Mammalia; Primates; Hominidae
Description: MIAT neighbor
Source: RNAcentral
GUUGAAUGAAUGAACGAGUAAGGUUAGAGAGGCAGGCAUGAGCCAGAUCCUGAAUUGAUUUGAAUGCCAUGGACAACAUCCAGAGGUGUCCAGAAAGAAGGUGGCCUUGACCAGAAUUCCUCAGCCUUGGCUGCACAUGAGAACCAGUGAGGGAGCCCUAAAAACGCUGAUGCCCAGGCUCCACCCAGACCUAUAGGUGCAGAACCUCUAGGGGAGGGCCCAGCCAUCGCGCUUUGAAAAAUCUCCUCAG